AACGAACGCUGGCGGCAUGCCUAACACAUGCAAGUCGAACGAGACCUUCGGGUCUAGUGGCGCACGGGUGCGUAACGCGUGGGAACCUGCCCUUAGGUUCGGAAUAACUCCCCGAAAGGGGUGCUAACACCGGAUAAUGUCUUCGGACCAAAGAUUUAUCGCCUUUGGAUGGGCCCGCGUUGGAUUAGCUAGUUGGUAGGGUAAAAGCCUACCUAGGCGACGAUCCAUAGCUGGUCUGAGAGGAUGAUCAGCCACACUGGGACUGAGACACGGCCCAGACUCCUACGGGAGGCAGCAGUGGGGAAUAUUGGACAAUGGGCGAAAGCCUGAUCCAGCAAUGCCGCGUGAGUGAUGAAGGCCUUAGGGUUGUAAAGCUCUUUUACCCGGGAUGAUAAUGACAGUACCGGGAGAAUAAGCUCCGGCUAACUCCGUG
Molecule: ribosomal RNA, 433 nt
Filed under: uncultured bacterium
Lineage: Bacteria
Description: partial 16S ribosomal RNA
Rfam family: Bacterial small subunit ribosomal RNA
Source: RNAcentral